UACAGAGGUCUCAAGCGUUGUUCGGAUUCAUUGGGCGUAAAGGGUGCGUAGGCGGCGGGGUAAGUCUGGUGUGAAAUCUCGGAGCUCAACUCCGAAAUUGCACUGGAUACUGCUCUGCUAGAGGGCUGGAGAGGAGAUCGGAAUUCACGGUGUAGCAGUGAAAUGCGUAGAUAUCGUGAGGAAGACCAGUGGCGUAGGCGGAUCUCUGGACAGCUCCUGACGCUGAGGCGCGAAGGCUAGGGGAGCAAACGGG
This 253-nucleotide ribosomal RNA is filed under the name uncultured bacterium. RNAcentral's name for it is "partial 16S ribosomal RNA". It matches the Rfam family "Bacterial small subunit ribosomal RNA", at positions 524 to 776 of the family's 1533-position model. The record is from RNAcentral.